RNAcentral lists this ribosomal RNA (490 nucleotides) under Streptomyces sp. 313D09. RNAcentral describes it as "bacterial SSU rRNA". It matches the Rfam family "Bacterial small subunit ribosomal RNA", at positions 93 to 596 of the family's 1533-position model. Lineage: Bacteria; Bacillati; Actinomycetota; Actinomycetes; Kitasatosporales; Streptomycetaceae. The record is from RNAcentral.
UAGUGGCGAACGGGUGAGUAACACGUGGGCAAUCUGCCCUGCACUCUGGGACAAGCCCUGGAAACGGGGUCUAAUACCGGAUAACACUGUCCCCCUCCUGGGGGACGGUUGAAAGCUCCGGCGGUGCAGGAUGAGCCCGCGGCCUAUCAGCUUGUUGGUGGGGUAAUGGCCUACCAAGGCGACGACGGGUAGCCGGCCUGAGAGGGCGACCGGCCACACUGGGACUGAGACACGGCCCAGACUCCUACGGGAGGCAGCAGUGGGGAAUAUUGCACAAUGGGCGAAAGCCUGAUGCAGCGACGCCGCGUGAGGGAUGACGGCCUUCGGGUUGUAAACCUCUUUCAGCAGGGAAGAAGCGAAAGUGACGGUACCUGCAGAAGAAGCGCCGGCUAACUACGUGCCAGCAGCCCGCGGUAAUACGUAGGGCGCAAGCGUUGUCCGGAAUUAUUGGGCGUAAAGAGCUCGUAGGCGGUCUGUCACGUCGGGUGUG